CUGACAAUGAAGAAUGUACUGAAGAUCCAUUAAUGGCAUCUACCAGCAAGUCCAUAACAACUUCCUCUACAAAACUACCUGAAACGAUGCUUGCAGGAUCGUAGAUCUUCGUGCUUAUAUAGUUUGAUCGUCCUCUAGAUCGAGCUACUACUCCGAGCUCAAAUGCACAAGAAAGGACGAACGUCCCAUUUCGUUCCCUCACGGUGAUCUGCAGUUAAUGAGCUGAUAAUAUGCGUAAACGAAUGCUCCGAAGUCGUCCGGUUCAGUGCGUGGCCUAAUCUAACGAACAUGCGAUUGCAGCAACGGUAACCACUUAGGAUUCGUCAAAUCCAUUGAUUAUAUUAAACGUAUAAAAACAUUGCACAGGCGAUAUUAUUUAAGGCAUUUGUUAUUCUUUCCUCCUAUGAGAAUAACAACUAAGCGUUUUUUCUUAUUUUCUGAAAAGACUAUUAUACUCUAACUGACGAACUUAAUUAUUCACAAGCAUGGGUAUGUUGAUGAUACUUUAAAUCACAUCAAUAAAGCGUACAAUAAGUUGUUGCGUGUGAACCGGCCUCAAAACCAAUGUUCAAUGUUUUCCAUUCGUCCAAUGUGUCAGGAACCUGGCCAACAAAAUAUUUUUAAUUAUUUAUAUAUUACCAAAAGAAAAUUCCAAAAAGGCUCCUAUAGAAAUUAAACAAUCUUUAGAAUCAGAGUUUGAAUAUAGUCCUAGCAAGAAUUUAG
RNAcentral lists this unclassified non-coding RNA (723 nucleotides) under Sipha flava (yellow sugarcane aphid). RNAcentral describes it as "zinc finger BED domain-containing protein 3-like, transcript variant X1". Lineage: Eukaryota; Metazoa; Arthropoda; Insecta; Hemiptera; Aphididae. The record is from RNAcentral.